GGCUUUGCACGAGGGGUGGGGCUUUGCAUGAGGCUUUGCACCAGGGCUGGGGGCGGCCACGAGCGUUGACACGAGCUCCUGAGGGGCUUUGCACAAGGGAUGAGGGGUUGCACGAGGAUUUGCACAAGGGUUGGGGGCUUUGCACGAGGCUUUGCACAAGGGUUGGGGCUUUGCACGAGGCUUUGCACCAGGGUGGGGGCGGCCACGAGCGUUGACACGAGGGCUGGAGGCUCCUGAGGGGCUUUGCACGAGGGAUGAGGGGUUGCACGAGGAUUUGCACAAGGGUUGGGGGCUUUGCACGAGGCUUUGCACAAGGGUUGGGGGCGGCCACGAGCAUUGACACGAGGGCUGGAGGCUCCUGAGAGGCUUUGCACGAGGGCUGGGGCUUUGCACAAGGCUUUGCACGAGGGCCAGGGGCUGCCACAAGCAUUUACACAAGGGUUGGGGGCUCCCGAGAGGCUUUGCACCAGGGCUGGGGGCUCCUGAGGGGCUUUGCACGAGGGCUGGGGCUUUGCACGAGGGUUUUCACGGGGGCUGGGGCUUUGCACGAGGCUUUGCACGAGGGCCAGCCAGGCGUGUCCCCGCAGUGUCGCUGCUGAAGGACCUGAAGCACGCCAACGUGGUGACGCUGCACGACAUCAUCCACACCCAGAGCUGCCUCACCCUCGUCUUCGAGUACCUGGUGGGCACCCCAAAAACCCCAGAGCACCCCAAAUCCCCCCCCGGGACCCCAAAAUCCUACCUGGGGACCCCCAAAUCCACCCCCGGGACCCCAAAAUCCUACCUGGGGACCCCCAAAUCCCCCCCAGGCACCCCAAAAUCCCC
This 825-nucleotide long non-coding RNA is filed under the name Cairina moschata (Muscovy duck). Its description in RNAcentral is "domestica (muscovy Duck (domestic type)) lncRNA (ENSCMMG00000005814.1)". The record is from RNAcentral. Lineage: Eukaryota; Metazoa; Chordata; Aves; Anseriformes; Anatidae.